UGGCAUUGCCGGGUAGCUAUGUUCGGAAAAGAUAACCGCUGAAAGCAUCUAAGCGGGAAACUUGCCUCAAGAUGAGAUCUCACUGGGAACUUGAUUCCCCUGAAGGGCCGUCGAAGACUACGACGUUGAUAGGCUGGGUGUGUAAGCGUUGUGAGGCGUUGAGCUAACCAGUACUAAUUGCCCGUGAGGCUUGACCAUAUAACACCCAAACA
Molecule: ribosomal RNA, 212 nt
Filed under: Pseudomonas aeruginosa
Lineage: Bacteria; Pseudomonadati; Pseudomonadota; Gammaproteobacteria; Pseudomonadales; Pseudomonadaceae
Description: partial 23S ribosomal RNA
Rfam family: Bacterial large subunit ribosomal RNA
Source: RNAcentral